Molecule: ribosomal RNA, 89 nt
Filed under: Phytophthora infestans (potato late blight agent)
Lineage: Eukaryota; Oomycota; Peronosporomycetes; Peronosporales; Peronosporaceae
Description: small subunit ribosomal RNA
Rfam family: Bacterial small subunit ribosomal RNA
Source: RNAcentral
AUUAAAUAGAGUUUGAUCCUGGCUCAGAAUAAAUGCUAUCGGUAUGCUUAACACAUGCAAGUUGAAUGUUUUUAAAACAUAGCGAACGG